This 399-nucleotide ribosomal RNA is filed under the name uncultured bacterium. RNAcentral's name for it is "bacterial SSU rRNA". It matches the Rfam family "Bacterial small subunit ribosomal RNA", at positions 225 to 615 of the family's 1533-position model. The record is from RNAcentral.
AUGGGCCCGCGGCCAUCAGCUAGUUGGUGAGGUAACGGCUCACCAAGGCGAUGACGGGUAGCUGGUCUGAGAGGACGACCAGCCACACUGGAACUGAGACACGGUCCAGACACCUACGGGUGGCAGCAGUCGAGAAUUUUUCUUAAUGGGGGAAACCCUGAAGGAGCGACGCCGCGUGGAGGAUGAAGGUCUUCGGAUUGUAAACUCCUGUCAUUGGUGAACAAGGUCCUCGGAGUAACUGCCGUUGGAUUUGAUAGUAGCCGAAGAGGAAGAGACGGCUAACUCUGUGCCAGCAGCCGCGGUAAUACAGAGGUCUCAAGCGUUGUUCGGAUUCAUUGGGGCGUAAAGGGUGCGUAAGCGGUGAGGUAANUCUGGUGUGAAAUCCCCGGGGCUCAACCC